Molecule: ribosomal RNA, 301 nt
Filed under: uncultured bacterium
Lineage: Bacteria
Description: partial 16S ribosomal RNA
Rfam family: Bacterial small subunit ribosomal RNA
Source: RNAcentral
CAGUAGCCGCGGUAAUACGUAGGUGGCAAGCGUUGUCCGGAAUUAUUGGGCGUAAAGGGCUCGCAGGCGGUUUCUUAAGUCUGAUGUGAAAGACCGGGGCUCAACUUCGGGGUUGCAUUUGAAACUGUCCGGCUAGAGUGUCGGAGAGGUAAGCGGAAUUCCUAGUGUAGUGGUGAAAUGCGUAGAUAUUAGGAGGAACAUCGGUGGCGAAGGCGGCUUACUGGACGAUAACUGACGCUGAGGCUCGAAAGCGUGGGGAGCAAACAGGAUUAGAUACCCCUGUAGUCCCUGUCUCUUAUAC